UCUCCGUUGGUGAACCAGCGGAGGGAUCAUUACCGAGUUUACAACUCCCAAACCAAAUGUGAACCAUACCAAACUGUUGCCUCGGCGGGGUCACGCCCCGGGUGCGUCGCAGCCCCGGAACCAGGCGCCCGCCGGAGGGACCAACCAAACUCUUUCUGUAGUCCCCUCGCGGACGUUAUUUUUACAGCUCUGAGCAAAAAUUCAAAAUGAAUCAAAACUUUCAACAACGGAUCUCUUGGUUCUG
Molecule: unclassified non-coding RNA, 244 nt
Filed under: plant metagenome
Description: partial contains small subunit ribosomal RNA, internal transcribed spacer 1, and 5.8S ribosomal RNA
Source: RNAcentral